UCAAAGUCCGAUACACAGUCUCUUCGCGGAAGGACUGGUUUAUCCUAGGUUUGGCCAAAGCCGUCAGGCGAUCCCCGAAAUACAUUUCAAUUUCGCCCUUUGCCUGAAGUAUUUUUAGUCAAACCCAGGAGCUCCUAACUUUUCAGUCAAACGUCGAAAGUAAAUUAUUCUGUUUCGGUUUUGGCCUAGUCAAUCCUAGAAGCGACUGCAAAACUCGGUCAAACGUUGAUCUGAACAUGUUUAAACAGGUUCAUAAUGUCUCUCGCGGUGUUCCGACCGAUUGUUUUGUCAUUUCAUGUUCGUUCAUUGAGCGUGCGGGCGUGUAAUUGUGUAAAAUUGAAGAUGAGUGAAUCAAACGGUGUUGUUGCCUUACCUCUUCC
Aricia agestis (brown argus) is the source of this 380-nucleotide long non-coding RNA. RefSeq lists it as uncharacterized. NCBI's taxonomy places the organism in Eukaryota, Metazoa, Arthropoda, Insecta, Lepidoptera, Lycaenidae. The record is from RefSeq and is a predicted model, not a curated record. The transcript has 3 exons.